UGAGCAGGGCCUAAACUGCAGCACUGUGUUUUCCAAACAGACUGUGAAACCAAGAAUGAGAGACAAGAGUGAGCUUCCUCCAGCCCCUUGUGUCAUCUGGGCAUGCUUGUGCCACGUGUCACUACAAACAGUUGGGACAUCUGGAACGGGUUCAUGAAAGUUCCUCUGUCUGGUUCAGUGCCUGGUCACAGCAAGUUUUCCUGGCACAAGUGAGUGGAAAGAGCACUUUGGCAUGGAGAGGAAAUGAGCAGCGGAGGGUGAAAGGUGAGCAGCAAUUACUGGUGCUGGGAAUGCCCCAGUGUACUUUAAUAUCAGCCCAUGGUCUGCAGCUGAACUCAACAUGUGAAAAAUGUUCAAAUACCUUUCAAAUUGUCAGGUUUAAUCUUUGCUUUUAGGUGUCCUGGCGGGCACUUCCCAUUUGUGUCCUUAUCUCCCAGCCUCCAGCUGUCUUCAAAGGCUUCCCAGCUACUGUGUCCUGCAAGUUCAAAACCCUGCAGCCCUCUGGGACUGGAGAUGUGUGAAGGAGCACAAGGAUUGGAGUUGAAUGACAGUGUGGCUGCCUGGCUGUUACAAUUUAUCAUGAACGCAUCUCACUUCACUUCUGGCUCCUCUGACGGAAGGAACAGCCGGUCUCCGGGAGGUCAAAGACAUUAUUUUCCCCCAGUCUUUCUCAGUUUCCAGUGCAUAUUUGUCACUUUGAAAAAGCAUGAAUUCUGGAUUUGAUGCACUUUAAUUGAUUUCACCCUCAACAAGUCCAACUGUCCAUCAACCUUUCCUUUUUCUUUCCUCUCUCCCUUCUUCAUUUCUUUCCUCUGUCCCUUUGCUUUGAGAGUGAUGCUUUCACCCUCCUGCAUGUUGGAGCUGUUGCAAAGCCCAUGACCCUCUCAAGGCUUACUGUCACAAGCCAUUGCUCUCAUUUUCCCUAUCCUCCAAGCUGAACUUUGGAUGCUGAGUGAGAAUGAUGUAGGAGUACUGGUCUUGUAAUAUCUCAGUGAUGUGCUCCUUGUCAAAGUAAAAGUGGUGGCUGAUGGUCCACUUAUUUUGAGACAACUGUGUAGAAUUGGAGAUGUGAGGGAAUUCACUCAUUAUAUGCUGGCAUUGG
Molecule: long non-coding RNA, 1102 nt
Organism: Junco hyemalis (dark-eyed junco)
Lineage: Eukaryota; Metazoa; Chordata; Aves; Passeriformes; Passerellidae
Source: Ensembl